Molecule: long non-coding RNA, 790 nt
Filed under: Homo sapiens (human)
Lineage: Eukaryota; Metazoa; Chordata; Mammalia; Primates; Hominidae
Description: long non-coding RNA NONHSAT149139.1
Source: RNAcentral
GCGGGGCGGAGAAACGGCGGCGGCGGCGGCGGCAUCGGCAGCAGUAGCAGAGGCUGUAGCAUCGGACACCCUCCUCUCUCCCGCAAUCCGGUUCCUCUUCCCCCUCCUUCUCACUGUUUGUUGUGUGUUUGAUGUGUUAAAGCAGGAGCGAGAACCCGAGCAGCGCCAUGAGCAACACUACCGUCGUCCCCAGCACUGCAGGUCCGGGCCCCAGCGGCGGGCCCGGUGGCGGAGGUGGUGGUGGCGGCGGAGGCGGCGGCACCGAGGUAAUCCAGGUGACUAAUGUCUCCCCGAGCGCUAGCUCUGAGCAGAUGCGGACUCUCUUCGGUUUCCUAGGCAAGAUCGACGAACUGCGCCUCUUCCCGCCGGAUGAUUCGCCUUUGCCAGUCUCAUCUCGUGUCUGCUUUGUUAAGUUCCAUGAUCCAGACUCAGCAGUUGUGGCACAGCAUCUGACAAACACUGUAUUCGUUGACAGAGCUUUGAUAGUCGUACCAUAUGCAGAAGGAGUUAUUCCUGAUGAAGCUAAAGCUUUGUCUCUGUUGGCACCAGCUAAUGCAGUGGCAGGUCUUCUGCCUGGUGGUGGACUCCUGCCUACUCCUAACCCACUUACCCAGAUUGGCGCUGUUCCACUGGCUGCUUUGGGGGCUCCUACUCUUGAUCCUGCCCUUGCUGCACUUGGGCUUCCUGGAGCAAACUUGAACUCUCAGUCUCUUGCUGCAGAUCAGUUGCUGAAGCUUAUGAGUACUGUUGAUCCCAAGUUGAAUCAUGUAGCUGCUGGUCUCGUUUCACC